Sinomonas atrocyanea is the source of this 114-nucleotide regulatory RNA element. It matches the Rfam family "mraW RNA". NCBI's taxonomy places the organism in Bacteria, Bacillati, Actinomycetota, Actinomycetes, Micrococcales, Micrococcaceae. The record is from Rfam.
UCCCACUGGCUGGCCGAGAUCUCCAGCCGCCCCGCAACGCUUCCUGGCUCACCUUCCCCGGAGCCAGGCGGCCGACCGGCGCGGAGGGGGAUCUGGACCAGCCGGACACCACGG